Molecule: ribosomal RNA, 279 nt
Filed under: uncultured bacterium
Lineage: Bacteria
Description: partial 16S ribosomal RNA
Rfam family: Bacterial small subunit ribosomal RNA
Source: RNAcentral
UGCCAGCCGCCGCGGUAAUACGGAGGGUGCAAGCGUUAAUCGGAAUUACUGGGAGUAAAGCGCGCGUAGGCGGUUGAGUGAGUCAGAUGUGAAAGCCCCGGGCUUAACCUGGGAAUGGCAUUCGAUACUGCAGAGCUAGAGUAUGGUAGAGGGAAGUGGAAUUUCCGGUGUAGCGGUGAAAUGCGUAGAUAUCGGAAGGAACACCGGUGGCGAAGGCGACUUCCUGGGCCAAUACUGACGCUGAGGUGCGAAAGCGUGGGUAGCAAACAGGAUUAGAUA